Molecule: ribosomal RNA, 469 nt
Filed under: uncultured bacterium
Lineage: Bacteria
Description: partial 16S ribosomal RNA
Rfam family: Bacterial small subunit ribosomal RNA
Source: RNAcentral
GACGAACGCUGGCGGCGUGCUUAACACAUGCAAGUCGAACGGAAAGGCCCUGCUUUUGUGGGGUGCUCGAGUGGCGAACGGGUGAGUAACACGUGAGUAACCUGCCCUUGACUUUGUGAUAACUUCAGGAAACUGGGGCUAAUACCGGAUAGGAGCUCCUGCUGCAUGGUGGGGGUUGGAAAGUUUCGGCGGUUGGGGAUGGACUCGCGGCUUAUCAGCUUGUUGGUGGGGUAGUGGCUUACCAAGGCUUUCACGGGUAGCCGGCCUGGGGGGGUGACCGGCCACACUGGGACUGAGAUACGGCCCAGACUCCUACGGGAGGGAGCAGGGGGGAAUAUUGCACAAGGGGCGGAAGCCUGAUGCAGCAACGCCGCGUGCGGGAUGACGGCCUUCGGGUUGUAAACCGCUUUCGCUCAUGACGAAGCUUUGUGUGACGGUAGUGGGUAAAGAAGCACCGGCUAACUACGUG